UGAAGAAGGCUCCAAAGGAGAGCCGAAACGUUGAUGUGUAUUUUAUAUAUAAAUAUAUAUAUAUAAAAUACAUAUCAACGUUUCGGCUCUCCUUUGGAGCCUUCUUC
This is a non-coding RNA of Pelobates cultripes (western spadefoot toad), 107 nucleotides long. NCBI's taxonomy places the organism in Eukaryota, Metazoa, Chordata, Amphibia, Anura, Pelobatidae. The record is from the annotation of a GenBank genome assembly.